Non-coding RNA from Mycena metata, 92 nucleotides. Lineage: Eukaryota; Fungi; Basidiomycota; Agaricomycetes; Agaricales; Mycenaceae. The record is from the annotation of a GenBank genome assembly.
GGCCUGGUAGCACAAUGGUUAGUGCCUUUGCUCGAUUUAGAUAGUGUAUCAAUGUUUAGCAGAUGAUCCUUGUUCGAUUCGGGGUCAGGUCG